RNAcentral lists this long non-coding RNA (661 nucleotides) under Lupinus mutabilis. RNAcentral describes it as "partial ncRNA". Lineage: Eukaryota; Viridiplantae; Streptophyta; Magnoliopsida; Fabales; Fabaceae. The record is from RNAcentral.
AUUGAUAAAAAAGUAAGAAUGAAGAGAAAAGGAUAAAAAAUCGGAACCUUGUUGUUUUUGUUUUUGGAAGAAGAAGCGGAAAUUGAAGAGGGAGAGGGAGAAGAAAAGAAGAGAGAUGAGAAAAUAGAUUUGCGAGCGAACGGAAUGGAAUGUCGAGUGGGGAAGCCUUCACAUGAUACACAUCGAACCGCCAUAUAUGCGGAUGAAACCACCGCCAUUUCUAUGCUUUUAUCUUUCAGGGGAGGUUUUCCAUUUUAUAUAUUGUCAUUUAAUUAUUUAUUAUUUAUUUUUAAUUAUUAUUAAUUUUUUACAUUAUUCCUCGUAGAAUAAAUUACAAAAAACACAGUGUACAUGUUAAUUAGAUGAGAAAUAUCAGAUCUGUUUCUGGAACAUUCCCUUCCAUGGCUAAGCCCAACGCGGUAACCACGAAAUCACAAUCAUCUCCAUCUCCAUCUUCUUCUUCAUCAUCAUCGAGGAGGAGAUGGACAAAGAGUAUAUCAACGAUAUCUGCUCGCAUCUUCUUCCUCCUCAUCAUCUUUCAGAUCCCUCUUUUCAGGUCAAUUAUACAUCCUAACCCUUCCAUCAUUCUUCGCGCUAUCGAUUCCGAUCUCUGCGGUUCUUCUUUUUUACAUUAUUAUUUUAUUAUUAUCAUCAUGUUUUC